AUGAUUAGUGGCGGACGGGUGAGUAACAUUUAGGAAUCUGCCUAGUAGUGGGGGAUAGCUCGGGGAAACUCGAAUUAAUACCGCAUACGACCUACGGGUGAAAGGGGGCGCAAGCUCUUGCUAUUAGAUGAGCCUAAAUCAGAUUAGCUAGUUGGUGGGGUAAAGGCCCACCAAGGCGACGAUCUGUAACUGGUCUGAGAGGAUGAUCAGUCACACCGGAACUGAGACACGGUCCGG
RNAcentral lists this ribosomal RNA (237 nucleotides) under uncultured Pseudomonadales bacterium. Its description in RNAcentral is "partial 16S ribosomal RNA". It matches the Rfam family "Bacterial small subunit ribosomal RNA", at positions 88 to 334 of the family's 1533-position model. The record is from RNAcentral. Lineage: Bacteria; Pseudomonadati; Pseudomonadota; Gammaproteobacteria; Pseudomonadales.